UCCGUAGGUGAACCUGCGGAAGGAUCAUUAUUGAAGUCUGGUUGUUGCUGGCCUUUUUCUCGGCAUGUGCACGCCUUAUUCAAACCCACCUGUGCACCUUUUGUAGACAGACUUUGUUUUGUCUAUCAAUCAUUUACUCCCGUGUAAUCAGAAUGUUAUUGAUUGGCCUCAGUGCCUUUAAUCAAAUAUUAUACAACUUUCAGCAACGGAUCUCUUGGCUCUCGCAUCGAUGAAGGACGCAGCGAAACGCGAUAAGUAAUGUGAAUUGCAGACACGUGAAUCAUCGAAUCUUUGAACGCACCUUGCGCUCCUUGGUGAUCUGAGGAGCAUGCCUGUUUGAGUGUCAUUAAAUUCUCAACCUAACCAACUUUUGGAUAGGCUUGGAUUGUGGGGGCUUUUGCUGGCUUCAACCCCUCAGAAGUCAGCUCCCCUUAAACGCAUUAGUGGAACGAUUUGUUGACCUUGUUUCCUGGUGUGAUAAAACCUUUAUCACCACCGUGUGCAGUCAGCUUACUCUGCUUCUAACCGAUUUUCAUUCACUCUUGACCAUUUGACCUCAAAUCAGGUAGGACUACCCGCUGAAUUUAAGCAUAUCAAUAAGCGGAGGA
This 608-nucleotide ribosomal RNA is filed under the name uncultured Agaricales. Its description in RNAcentral is "eukaryotic LSU rRNA". The stretch from base 195 to 346 matches the Rfam family "5.8S ribosomal RNA". The record is from RNAcentral. Lineage: Eukaryota; Fungi; Basidiomycota; Agaricomycetes; Agaricales.